UGCUGCGUGGCAGGAGCUGCGGUAAGACGGAGGUGGCAAGAAUAACGCGGGUUUAUUGGGCGUAAAGGGCGCGUAGGCGGGCCUGCAAGGCAGAUGUGAAAUUCCGGGGCUCAAGCUCGGAGCUGCAUUUGAAACUGCGAGUCUAUAGAGGGAUGACGGAGAAAAGGGAAUUCCACGUGUAGCGGUGAAAUGCGUAGAUAUGUGGAAGAACACCAGUGGCGAAAGCGGUUUUCUAGUUAUCACCUGACGCUGAGGCGCGAGAGCAAGGGGAGCAAACAGGAUUAGAUACCCUAGUAGUC
RNAcentral lists this ribosomal RNA (299 nucleotides) under uncultured Lactobacillus sp. RNAcentral's name for it is "partial 16S ribosomal RNA". It matches the Rfam family "Bacterial small subunit ribosomal RNA", at positions 499 to 795 of the family's 1533-position model. The record is from RNAcentral. Lineage: Bacteria; Bacillati; Bacillota; Bacilli; Lactobacillales; Lactobacillaceae.